This 883-nucleotide ribosomal RNA is filed under the name uncultured Actinomycetes bacterium. RNAcentral describes it as "bacterial SSU rRNA". It matches the Rfam family "Bacterial small subunit ribosomal RNA", at positions 25 to 918 of the family's 1533-position model. Lineage: Bacteria; Bacillati; Actinomycetota; Actinomycetes. The record is from RNAcentral.
CGAGAACGCUGGGCGGUCGUGCCCAACACUUGCAAGUCGAGCGGUAAGGCCCUACAGGAGCUACACGUGCGGCGAGGCGGGUGAGUCACAGGGAGGUGACGUGCCCUCAGCUAUGGGAUAAGCAGGAGGAAACUGGGUCUAAUCAAAGGAUAUGUCUCCAUGAGGCAUGUUGUGGGGUGGAGAACCUCAUGUGGUAUAGGAUGGGCGCGAGGCCUAUCACCUUGCAGGUGGAGUGAUGGCCUACCAUGGCGAAGGAGGAUAACCCACAUGAGAGGGCGGCCGGCCCCCCUGGUCCUGAGACACGCACCAGACUCGUAUGGGAGGCAACAGUGGGGAAUCUUGCCCAAUGGGCGAAAGCCUGACGCAGAGACGCCGCGUUAGGGAAGACGGCUUUGGGGUAAUAAACCUUUUUCAGGUCAAUAUACGCGGAAGUAACGGUAGCAUCAGAAGAAGCCCCGGCCCAAUUCGUGCCCGCCACCGCGGUAAUGAGUAGGGGGCCAAGGUUGUCUGGAAUUCUUGGGGGUAAAGAGCUGGUAGGGGGUCUGUCGAGUUGGCUGUGAAAACUCCAGGCUCAACUCCGAGAUUGCCGUCGAUACGGGCAGGAUAGAGUUCCGCAGGGGAGGAGGGAAUUUCUGGUGGAGCGGUGAAAUGGGCAGAUAUCCGGAGGAACACCGGUGGGGAAGAGGGGUUUUUGGGCCGAUACUGACGGUGAGGACAGAAAGGGUGGGGAGGCAACCGGAUUAGAUACCCUGGUAGUUCCCGCCGUAAACGUAGGACCAUUGGUGUUGGAUCCCUUCCACGGCUUCCGUGCCGCCGCUAACGCAUUAAGCGCCCCGCCUGGGGAGUACGGCCGCAAGGCUAAAACUCAAAUGAAUUGACGGGG